GCAUUCACGAGAGUGGUAGCUCUGUUCCAAAACGUUUUUCAAGACACAGGAACCGUCCGGUUGUAAUAUUACUGAAUCUUUACGUUCUAAAGGCCCUAAAGAUUGAUGUUUUACAACGUUUGACAUGUUUGAACGAACGUAAAUACAACUUUUUUAAACUUUUCGUCGUGACAUUGUCCGCGCGCUUCCUACAUUUGGAGUAGCUGAACUGAACGCGCAAACAACAAGGAGUUAUUUGGACAUAAAUUAUGGAGUUUAUCGAACAAAACAACAUUUAUUGUGGACCUGGGAUUCCUGGAAGUGUCUUCUGAUGAAGAUCAUCAAAGCCAAUGACGGGGAUCUGGGCCUGGCAGGUGUCUGUAUUAUAUCCCUCCCGUCCGACUCAUUGAAGAAAAACUCUUCAGAUAAUCUGAAAAGUUGGUGUUGGUGCUCUAGACAGAAGGCAAGUAGUUAAAAGGUUGCAGAUGAUGAUAGAAUGGCUUGGAAAUGUACUCAAUGCACUUAAAACUCAUCUAUCGCGAUGCCACAAUGCAGAGGUCAGGAAUAGGGAAGGUCAGGAGCAUGCAUCUUUUAACUGACCUCUGUGUACAUUCAAGCAACCUUUCUUUGAAUUUGUACUCUUCAGUCACCUUAGGGGACAUUUAAAGAAGCAUGAGAGAGUAGGACACACCAAGUGAGUGUUAUGUCAGAUUUUCAUGAUGACAUUGUCUGUCAGGAAACUGAUAACCUAACUGCCACUAACUCAGAUGACUUAUGUGAAGAAUGUCCCAGCCUGUCAAGAGGUGAGUGUAGCUGGUGCAUCGAAGUCAGGUGCAGAGAUGAGUGGACAAAGCACUUUACUAAGGCAAUCAUAUGCACAGAACGCAAUUGCGUCACAGAACAAAUGCCCAACGAACCAGUGAAGCAGCACAAAGUACAAAAACACAAGUACAAAGUACAGGCUGCCACAAAGCACGGGUAAUAAAAUAAACCCAGCGCAAACCAGCCUGAAGCCUGCCAACCUCAACAAUAAACAAUUACACACACGGACAUGGGGGGAACAGAGGGUUAAAUACACGACAUGUAAUGAGAUGUACCAGGUGUGUGGGAAAACAAGACAGAACAAAUGGAAAAUGAAAGGUGGAUCGGCGAUGGCUAGAAGACCGGUGACGUCGACCACCGAACGCCACCCACCCAAACAAGGAGAGGAACCGGCAUCAGCGGAAGUCGUGACAGUACCCCCCCUUGACGCGCGGCUCCAGCAGCGCGCCGACACUGGCCUCGGGGACGACCCGGAGG
RNAcentral lists this long non-coding RNA (1278 nucleotides) under Salmo salar (Atlantic salmon). Its description in RNAcentral is "lncRNA (ENSSSAG00000116421.1)". The record is from RNAcentral. Lineage: Eukaryota; Metazoa; Chordata; Actinopteri; Salmoniformes; Salmonidae.